UACGAAGGUGGCAAGCGUUGUUCGGAUUUACUGGGCGUAAAGGGAGCGUAGGUGGUGCGGUAAGCCCUCCGGGAAAGCUUCAGGCUUAACCUGAAAAGGUCGGAGGGGACUGCCACGCUAGAGGACGGGAGAGGAGCGCGGAAUUCCCGGUGUAGCGGUGAAAUGCGUAGAGAUCGGGAGGAACACCAGUGGCGAAGGCGGCUUCCUGGUCUGCAACUGACGCUGUGGCGCGAAAGCUAGGGGAGCAAACGGG
RNAcentral lists this ribosomal RNA (253 nucleotides) under uncultured bacterium. RNAcentral's name for it is "partial 16S ribosomal RNA". It matches the Rfam family "Bacterial small subunit ribosomal RNA", at positions 524 to 776 of the family's 1533-position model. The record is from RNAcentral.